GCCCUGGUGGUGGAAAGGUAGACACAAUUGCUUCAAAAUCAAUUAUCGAUAGAUGUGGAGGUUCAAAUCCUCUCCAGGGCA
RNAcentral lists this transfer RNA (81 nucleotides) under Gloeotilopsis sterilis. RNAcentral's name for it is "tRNA-Leu". It matches the Rfam family "tRNA". From Rfam's summary of the family: Transfer RNA (tRNA) molecules are approximately 80 nucleotides in length. Their secondary structure includes four short double-helical elements and three loops (D, anti-codon, and T loops). Lineage: Eukaryota; Viridiplantae; Chlorophyta; Ulvophyceae; Ulotrichales; Ulotrichaceae. The record is from RNAcentral.